This 519-nucleotide ribosomal RNA is filed under the name uncultured bacterium. RNAcentral's name for it is "partial 16S ribosomal RNA". It matches the Rfam family "Bacterial small subunit ribosomal RNA", at positions 28 to 507 of the family's 1533-position model. The record is from RNAcentral.
GACGAACGCUGGCGGCGUGCCUAAUACAUGCAAGUCGAGCGAGUCUGCCUUGAGGAUCGGAGUGCUUGCACUCUGUGAAACAAGAUACAGGCUAGCGGCGGACGGGUGAGUAACACGUGGGUAACCUGCCCAAGAGAUCGGGAUAACACCUGGAAACAGAUGCUAAUACCGGAUAACAACAGAUGAUGCCUAUCAACUGUUUAAAAGAUGGUUCUGCUAUCACUCUUGGAUGGACCUGCGGUGCAUUAGCUAGUUGGUAGGGUAACGGCCUACCAAGGCGAUGAUGCAUAGCCGAGUUGAGAGACUGAUCGGCCACAUUGGGACUGAGACACGGCCCAAACUCCUACGGGAGGCAGCAGUAGGGAAUCUUCCACAAUGGACGCAAGUCUGAUGGAGCAACGCCGCGUGAGUGAAGAAGGGUUUCGGCUCGUAAAGCUCUGUUGUUGGUGAAGAAGGACAGGGGUAGUAACUGACCUUUGUUUGACGGUAAUCAAUUAGAAAGUCACGGCUAACUAAGUG